RNAcentral lists this ribosomal RNA (468 nucleotides) under uncultured Ochrobactrum sp. RNAcentral's name for it is "bacterial SSU rRNA". It matches the Rfam family "Bacterial small subunit ribosomal RNA", at positions 8 to 524 of the family's 1533-position model. The record is from RNAcentral. Lineage: Bacteria; Pseudomonadati; Pseudomonadota; Alphaproteobacteria; Hyphomicrobiales; Brucellaceae.
AGAGUUUGAUCCUGGCUCAGAACGAACGCUGGCGGCAGGCUUAACACAUGCAAGUCGAGCGCCCCGCAAGGGGAGCGGCAGACGGGUGAGUAACGCGUGGGAAUCUACCUUUUGCUACGGAAUAACUCAGGGAAACUUGUGCUAAUACCGUAUGUGCCCUUCGGGGGAAAGAUUUAUCGGCAAAGGAUGAGCCCGCGUUGGAUUAGCUAGUUGGUGAGGUAAAGGCUCACCAAGGCGACGAUCCAUAGCUGGUCUGAGAGGAUGAUCAGCCACACUGGGACUGAGACACGGCCCAGACUCCUACGGGAGGCAGCAGUGGGGAAUAUUGGACAAUGGGCGCAAGCCUGAUCCAGCCAUGCCGCGUGAGUGAUGAAGGCCCUAGGGUUGUAAAGCUCUUUCACCGGUGAAGAUAAUGACGGUAACCGGAGAAGAAGCCCCGGCUAACUUCGUGCCAGCAGCCGCGGUAAA